RNAcentral lists this ribosomal RNA (332 nucleotides) under uncultured bacterium. Its description in RNAcentral is "bacterial SSU rRNA". It matches the Rfam family "Bacterial small subunit ribosomal RNA", at positions 8 to 327 of the family's 1533-position model. The record is from RNAcentral.
AGAGUUUGAUCCUGGCUCAGAACAAACGCUGGCGGCGUGCCUAACACAUGCAAGUCGUACGUGAAAGUUCCGCAAGGAACGAGUAAAGUGGCGAACGGGUGAGUAAUACAUAGGUAAUCUACUUAUAAGUUCGGGAUAACAUUUCGAAAGGAUUGCUAAUACCGGAUAAUGUGCUUAGUCAAAAGAUUAAGCACCAAAGGUGGCCUCUUCACAAUGCUAUCGAUUAUAAAUGAGCCUAUGGACCAUUAGUUAGUUGGCAGGGUAAUAGCCUACCAAGACAAAGAUGGUUAGCUGGUCUGAGAGGAUGACCAGCCACACUGAACUGAACACGC